This 497-nucleotide ribosomal RNA is filed under the name uncultured bacterium. RNAcentral describes it as "partial 16S ribosomal RNA". It matches the Rfam family "Bacterial small subunit ribosomal RNA", at positions 28 to 507 of the family's 1533-position model. The record is from RNAcentral.
GAUGAACGCUGGCGGCGUGCCUAAUACAUGCAAGUCGAGCGAACGGACGAGAAGCUUGCUUUUCUGAUGUUAGCGGCGGACGGGUGAGUAACACGUGGAUAACCUACCUAUAAGACUGGGAUAACUUCGGGAAACCGGAGCUAAUACCGGAUAAUAUUUUGAACCGCAUGGUUCAAAAGUGAACGACGGUCUUGCUGUCACUUAUAGAUGGAUCCGCGCUGCAUUAGCUAGUUGGUAAGGUAACGGCUUACCAAGGCAACGAUGCAUAGCCGACCUGAGAGGGUGAUCGGCCACACUGGAACUGAGACACGGUCCAGACUCCUACGGGAGGCAGCAGUAGGGAAUCUUCCGCAAUGGGCGAAAGCCUGACGGAGCAACGCCGCGUGAGUGAUGAAGGUCUUCGGAUCGUAAAACUCUGUUAUUAGGGAAGAACAUAUGUGUAAGUAACUGUGCACAUCUUGACGGUACCUAAUCAGAAAGCCACGGUUAACUACGUG